This 640-nucleotide long non-coding RNA is filed under the name Rattus norvegicus (Norway rat). RNAcentral describes it as "long non-coding RNA NONRATT018878". The record is from RNAcentral. Lineage: Eukaryota; Metazoa; Chordata; Mammalia; Rodentia; Muridae.
CUGGGCGUCUAUCAGUCCGUCGGCGUCAUCGUGUCCACUACCCCAUAACCCCCCACACACCCUUCCACCCCUGUUAUUCCCUGUCCCCACUCCUUCCUCCCACCCUCAGCCCCUACCAUUCAACAAAGGCAUCACUCCGAUUUGCAGCAGCGUCUUCAGUGGGGCCUGCAGUGGGAUCAGCUGAGGGAAAAGGGACACAGACAGCGCAUGCACAUACAGGUUUGUGUGAGCGGCCCUCUUGCAAAACCUGGACCCACCCAAUGCCAUCCCCAACUCACUGCCAGAGACUCCAGCGCAGACUGAUUGGAGUAAAUUUGAAACCUGUGGGACAGAAAUGCAACAUGAAACCUUGGGACACCCUUUCCUUGAGCCCUACGUAAAAGUUGGCCCAGAGUGACAGCUUUCCCAGUCCCACCCAAUCAUCCUUCCAGGUAGCUGCCAUUUUCCAGGUGUGCAUCCCUGAGUGACCCUCUUGUCUCUGGAGCCCCUUUCUUUAAGCCUGCUGAUUUUCAUUAGUUAGGAAUGCCUGUGUGCCAUGCCUCUGUGGCUAGGUCAACAAGUACAGUUUGUUUUAUCCAACAAAAUUCAAUAAUCUUUACUCCCUGUCAGAUACCAAGCUUAUUAAAAAAAAAAAAUCAAA